UAGUGGAGAUGCCUCUAAUGUCAGCACUCCAGGAGGCUGAGGCGAGAAGUUUGCAAGUCUGAGCUCGGCCUGAGCAACUGAGCUAUUUGAAUCCAAGAUUAACAGAGUGACUGUGGAAUGAAUAUGUGAUACAGACUUUACCUUCAGAUGUGCAAUGGCUCUAAUAUGGGUCUAAAGCAAUGGAGUUAACCUACCAUGGACUGAAAACUCUGAAACCAUGAGCCAAAACACUGCCAUGGGCCACUACAGGAUCAUGGAUGCUGUCGUCAGAGAGGCUGACACCAAACGGUGCAUGCUAGGUACUGUUGAAAGACUAACCCAGAAAUCCUGGA
This is a long non-coding RNA of Fukomys damarensis (Damara mole-rat), 332 nucleotides long. RefSeq lists it as uncharacterized. The record is from RefSeq and is a predicted model, not a curated record. The transcript has 4 exons. Lineage: Eukaryota; Metazoa; Chordata; Mammalia; Rodentia; Bathyergidae.